UUCGAUCCUGGCUCAGAUUGAACGCUGGCGGGAUGCUUGCAUACCAGGGGUGAACGGCAGCACGGACUUCGGUCUGGUGGCGAGUGGCGAGCGGGUGAGUAAUGUAUCGGAACGUGCCUAGUAGCGGGGAUAACUACGCGAAAGCGUAGCUAAUACCGCAUACGCCCUUCGGGGAAAGCGGGGACCUUCGGGCCUCGCACUAGAGCGGCCGAUAUCGGAUUAGCUAAUUGGUGGAGUAACGGCUGCAGGCGACGAUCCGUAGCUGGUUUGAGAGGACGACCAGCCACACUGGGACACGGAACACGGCCCAGACUCCUACCACGGGAGGCAGCAGUGGGGAAUUUUGGACAAUGGGGAAACCUGAUCCAGCCAUCCCGCGUGGUGCGAUGAAGGCCUUCGGGUUGUAAAGCACUUUUGGCAGGAAAGAAACGGCACGGGAUAAUACCCGUGCAACUGACGGUACCUGCAGAAUAAGCACCGGCUAACUACGUGCCAGCAGCCGCGGUAAUACGUAAGUGCAAGCGUUAAUCAGAUACUGGAACGUAAAGCGUGCGCAGGCGGUUCGGAAAGAAAGAUGUGAAAUCCAGAGCUUAACUUUGGAACUGCAUUUUUAACUACCGAGCUAGAGUGUGUCAGAGGGAGGUGGAAUUCACGUGUAGCAGUGAAAUGCGUAGAUAUGCGGAGGAACACCGAUGGCGAAGGCAGCCUCCUGGGAUAACGCUGUGCUCAUGCACACGGCGAUGAGGAGCAAACGGGAUUAGAUGCCCUGGCGGUCCGCCUAAACGAUGUCAACUAGCGCAAUUGGAACCUUCAGGCCUUGGUAACAUGCGCGUGAAAGUUGACCGCGAUGCAGUCGCAAGGUCAAAACUCAAAAGGAAUUGACGGGGACCCGCACAAGCGGUGGAUGAUGUGGAUUAAUUCGAUGCAACGCGAAAACCUUACCCUACCGCCGAGCAUGUCUGGAAUCCCGAAGAGAUUUGGGAGUGCCGCAAGAGAACGGAACACAGGUGCCAUGGCGCAAUGGCGACUCGUGUCGUGAGAUGUUGGGUUGAUCCCGCAACGAGCUGUACUUGUCAUUGAAUUUGCGAGGGCACUAAUGAGACUGCCAGUGACAAACCGGAGGAAGGUGGGGAUGACAUUGAGUCCUCAUGGCCCUUAUGGGUAGGGCUUCACACGUCAUACGUGGUCGAGACGGAGGGUCGCCAACCCGCGAGGAGCCAAUCCAGAAACCCGAUCGUAGUCCGGAUCGCAGUCUGCAACUCGACUGCGUGAAGUCGGAAUCACUAGUAAUCGCGGAUCAGCAUGUCGCGGUGAAUACGUUCCGGGUCUUGUACACACCGCCCGUCACACCAUGGGAGUGGGUUUUACCAGAGUAGUUAGCCUAACCGUAAGGAGGGCGAUUACCACGGUAGGAUUCAUGACUGGGGUGAAGUCGUAACAAAAGGCCAA
This 1449-nucleotide ribosomal RNA is filed under the name uncultured Bordetella sp. Its description in RNAcentral is "partial 16S-23S ribosomal RNA intergenic spacer". It matches the Rfam family "Bacterial small subunit ribosomal RNA". The record is from RNAcentral. Lineage: Bacteria; Pseudomonadati; Pseudomonadota; Betaproteobacteria; Burkholderiales; Alcaligenaceae.